GAUGAAGAACGUAGCGAAAUGCGAUACGUAAUGUGAAUUGCAAAUUCAGUGAAUCAUCGAGUCUUUGAACGCACAUUGCGCCCCCUGGUAUUCCGGGGGGCAUGCCUGUCCGAGCGUCGUUGCUGCCCUCAAGCACGGCUUGUGUGUUGGGCCCCGUCCUCCGAUCCCGGGGGAGGGCCCGAAAGGCAGCGGCGGCACCGCGUCCGGUCCUCGAGCGUAUGGGGCUUUGUCACCCGCUCUGUAGGCCCGGCCGGCGCUUGCCGAUCAACCCAAAUUUUUAUCCAGGUUGACCUCGGAUCAGGUAGGGAUACCCGCUGAACUUAAGCAUAUCAAUAAGCGGAGGA
RNAcentral lists this unclassified non-coding RNA (344 nucleotides) under soil metagenome. Its description in RNAcentral is "partial contains 5.8S ribosomal RNA, internal transcribed spacer 2, and large subunit ribosomal RNA". The stretch from base 1 to 119 matches the Rfam family "5.8S ribosomal RNA", at positions 35 to 154 of the family's 154-position model. The record is from RNAcentral.